RNAcentral lists this ribosomal RNA (497 nucleotides) under uncultured bacterium. RNAcentral's name for it is "partial 16S ribosomal RNA". It matches the Rfam family "Bacterial small subunit ribosomal RNA", at positions 28 to 507 of the family's 1533-position model. The record is from RNAcentral.
GAUGAACGCUGGCGGCGUGCCUAAUACAUGCAAGUCGAGCGAACGGACGAGAAGCUUGCUUCUCUGUUGUUAGCGGCGGACGGGUGAGUAACACGUGGAUAACCUCCCUAUAAGACUGGGAUAACUUCGGGAAACCGGAGCUUAUACCGGAUAAUAUUUUGAACCGCAUGGUUCAAAAGUGAAAGUCGGUCUUGCUGUCACUUAUAGAUGGAUCCGCGCUGCUUUAGCUAGUUGGUAAGGUAACGGCUUACCAAGGCAACGAUGCAUAGCCGACCUGAGAGGGUGAUCGGCCACACUGGAGCUUAGACAGGGUCCAUACGCCUACGAGAGGCAGCAGUAGGGAAUCUUCCGCAGUGGGCGAAAGUCUGACGGAGCAACGCCGCGUGAGUGAUGAAGGUCUUCCGAGCGUAAAACUCUGUUAUUAGGGAAGAACAUAUGUGUAAGUAACUGUGCACAUCUUGACGGUACCUAAUCAGAAAGCCACGGCUAACUACGUG